Molecule: ribosomal RNA, 526 nt
Filed under: uncultured fungus
Lineage: Eukaryota; Fungi
Description: eukaryotic LSU rRNA
Rfam family: 5.8S ribosomal RNA (bases 139-292)
Source: RNAcentral
CUCAUCAACCCUGUGAACAUACCUAUAACGUUGCCUCGGCGGGAACAGACGGCCCCGUAACACGGGCCGCCCCCGCCAGAGGACCCCCUAACUCUGUUUCUAUAAUGUUUCUUCUGAGUAAACAAGCAAAUAAAUUAAAACUUUCAACAACGGAUCUCUUGGCUCUGGCAUCGAUGAAGAACGCAGCGAAAUGCGAUAAGUAAUGUGAAUUGCAGUAUUCAGUGAAUCAUCGAAUCUUUGAACGCACAUUGCGCCCGCCAGUAUUCUGGCGGGCAUGCCUGUUCGAGCGUCAUUACAACCCUCAGGCCCCCGGGCCUGGCGUUGGGGAUCGGCGGAAGCCCCCUGCGGGCACAACGCCGUCCCCCAAAUACAGUGGCGGUCCCGCCGCAGCUUCCAUUGCGUAGUAGCUAACACCUCGCAACUGGAGAGCGGCGCGGCCACGCCGUAAAACACCCAACUUCUGAAUGUUGACCUCGAAUCAGGUAGGAAUACCCGCUGAACUUAAGCAUAUCAAUAAGCGGAGGAA